RNAcentral lists this ribosomal RNA (1198 nucleotides) under Escherichia coli. RNAcentral's name for it is "partial 23S ribosomal RNA". It matches the Rfam family "Bacterial large subunit ribosomal RNA", at positions 1 to 1230 of the family's 2925-position model. The record is from RNAcentral. Lineage: Bacteria; Pseudomonadati; Pseudomonadota; Gammaproteobacteria; Enterobacterales; Enterobacteriaceae.
GGGUUGUGAGGUUAAGCGACUAAGCGUACACGGUGGAUGCCCUGGCAGUCAGAGGCGAUGAAGGACGUGCUAAUCUGCGAUAAGCGUCGGUAAGGUGAUAUGAACCGUUAUAACCGGCGAUUUCCGAAUGGGGAAACCCAGUGUGAUUCGUCACACUAUCAUUAACUGAAUCCAUAGGUUAAUGAGGCGAACCGGGGGAACUGAAACAUCUAAGUACCCCGAGGAAAAGAAAUCAACCGAGAUUCCCCCAGUAGCGGCGAGCGAACGGGGAGCAGCCCAGAGCCUGAAUCAGUGUGUGUGUUAGUGGAAGCGUCUGGAAAGGCGCGCGAUACAGGGUGACAGCCCCGUACACAAAAAUGCACAUACUGUGAGCUCGAUGAGUAGGGCGGGACACGUGGUAUCCUGUCUGAAUAUGGGGGGACCAUCCUCCAAGGCUAAAUACUCCUGACUGACCGAUAGUGAACCAGUACCGUGAGGGAAAGGCGAAAAGAACCCCGGCGAGGGGAGUGAAAAAGAACCUGAAACCGUGUACGUACAAGCAGUGGGAGCACGCUUAGGCGUGUGACUGCGUACCUUUUGUAUAAUGGGUCAGCGACUUAUAUUCUGUAGCAAGGUUAACCGAAUAGGGGAGCCGAAGGGAAACCGAGUCUUAACUGGGCGUUAAGUUGCAGGGUAUAGACCCGAAACCCGGUGAUCUAGCCAUGGGCAGGUUGAAGGUUGGGUAACACUAACUGGAGGACCGAACCGACUAAUGUUGAAAAAUUAGCGGAUGACUUGUGGCUGGGGGUGAAAGGCCAAUCAAACCGGGAGAUAGCUGGUUCUCCCCGAAAGCUAUUUAGGUAGCGCCUCGUGAAUUCAUCUCCGGGGGUAGAGCACUGUUUCGGCAAGGGGGUCAUCCCGACUUACCAACCCGAUGCAAACUGCGAAUACCGGAGAAUGUUAUCACGGGAGACACACGGCGGGUGCUAACGUCCGUCGUGAAGAGGGAAACAACCCAGACCGCCAGCUAAGGUCCCAAAGUCAUGGUUAAGUGGGAAACGAUGUGGGAAGGCCCAGACAGCCAGGAUGUUGGCUUAGAAGCAGCCAUCAUUUAAAGAAAGCGUAAUAGCUCACUGGUCGAGUCGGCCUGCGCGGAAGAUGUAACGGGGCUAAACCAUGCACCGAAGCUGCGGCAGCGACGCUUAUGCGUUGUUGGGUA